YGUAAUGUAGUUUAUGUAAAA
RNAcentral lists this transfer RNA (21 nucleotides) under Taenia hydatigena. Its description in RNAcentral is "partial tRNA-Val". The record is from RNAcentral. Lineage: Eukaryota; Metazoa; Platyhelminthes; Cestoda; Cyclophyllidea; Taeniidae.